RNAcentral lists this ribosomal RNA (467 nucleotides) under uncultured bacterium. RNAcentral describes it as "bacterial SSU rRNA". It matches the Rfam family "Bacterial small subunit ribosomal RNA", at positions 917 to 1382 of the family's 1533-position model. The record is from RNAcentral.
GGGCCCGCACAAGCGGUGGAGCAUGUGGUUCAAUUCGAAGCAACGCGAAGAACCUUACCUGGGUUCGAAAUGCAGAUGUAAAUCUCAGAGAUGAGGUCCCCUCUUCGGAGGCAUCUGUAUAGGUGCUGCAUGGCUGUCGUCAGCUCGUGUCGUGAGAUGUUGGGUUAAGUCCCGCAACGAGCGCAACCCUUGUCCAUAGUUACUAACGCGUAGUGGCGAGAACUCUAUGGAGACUGCCGGUGAUAAACCGGAGGAAGGUGGGGAUGACGUCAAGUCCUCAUGGCCUUUAUGUCCAGGGCUACACACGUGCUACAAUGGGCGGUACAAAGAGUUGCGAUCCCGCAAGGGGGAGCUAAUCUCAAAAAGCCGCUCUCAGUUCGGAUUGUUCUCUGCAACUCGAGAGCAUGAAGCUGGAAUCGCUAGUAAUCGCGGAUCAGCACGCCGCGGUGAAUACGUUCCCGGGCCUU